Molecule: non-coding RNA, 1509 nt
Organism: Micropterus salmoides (largemouth bass)
Lineage: Eukaryota; Metazoa; Chordata; Actinopteri; Centrarchiformes; Centrarchidae
Source: the annotation of a RefSeq genome assembly
UUUGGUGGAGGAACCAGACUGGAUGUUGGAAGUGAUGUCCGUCCCACCCUGACGGUGCUGCCCCCCUCCAGUGAGGAGCUGCAGCAGGGGAAGGCCACGCUCAUGUGCCUGGCCAACAAGGGCUUCCCCUCAGACUGGAGUCUGGCCUGGAAGGUGGACGGCAGCAGCAGCAGCAGCAGCAGCAGCUGGGAGGAGAGCAGUAGCCCCGGGGUGCUGGAGAAGGACGGCCGCUACAGCUGGAGCAGCACCCUGAGGCUCCCUGCAGACCAGUGGAGGAAGGUGGGCUCUGUGACCUGUGAGGCCACCCAGGGCUCCCAGGCUCUGGUCUCAGAGACACUGAGGAGAGACCAGUGUUCCCAGUCCUGACCUGACUCACUGGGACUCUGCUACUGGUUUUACUCUGCUCUCUGCUCUCUGAACUCUGUAACUCUCUCUGUGUCUGUGUCUCUUUCUUCCCUUCAGUCACUCUCUAAUCACAUGUUUCAUGGAUAAAGUUUGUUUACUUGAUUUAAUUUUGAUUAUUUCUACACAAUAAAUACCAGUUCAUCAAAUUAGUUGUUUUCAUUCAUGUUAUUGUGAAGGUAACAGAUCAGGAGCGUAGUUGGCUUAGUUGAAUUUCAAAUUACAUUUAUAUAAUCUUUACAUGGAAAUAAAUAUUCUAUUUAAAAAACUAAACAAAUAUAUAUUAUUAUUAUUAUUAUUAUUAUUAUAUGUUGUUACCUCUAACUUAUCCACUUUUCAACUCAUCAACAGUAGACAUAUAUAUUUCAUAUACAUACAUAUGGUGUUUCACCCUCAGUGCCGAGAACGCUGCCCUGCAUAUUUACAUAUUUACAUGGAGAAAACAUUGAGAAGUCUGGUAGUAAACUGAUCCAGUGAUUUGUGACAGUUUGUUUUGUCAAGUUUGAUCUUUUUUUACACCCGAUUCACUGGUUUUACUCUGCUACUGGUUUUACUCUGCUACUGCUCUCAGUCUGUCUGGUUCUCAGUUUCUCUCAUGAGAUGUUUCAAUAUGGACCUCAGGUGGUUAAUGUGCUUGUGUUGAUCGUUGAUUGAUUUUUAUCAUGUAGACUGGAUUAUAACAGAAACUUCCUUUCUCUGACAUAUAAGUUAGCAACAUUGGUGAGUUUCACAGUAACAAGUUUAUUUUUACCAUAUUACGUUUUGAUGGUUUUUGUUCUUUGCUAUUACUAAUGUCAUCCUUGGAUAACAUACACAUACCUGGAAAUGAUUAAAAGUAUAUUUUUUAAAAAGGAAGGUAUUAUCUGCAUAAAGUCAUUCAUGAGUCUGAUUUGAUAUAUUGCACCAAAUAAUAUUUAAAUGAGACAGUAUCACUUCGCCAAAUGAGAACGACUGUUUCUGUCUCUUGGUGUCAGCACAAUUAAUACAUUGUGAUUUUUCACUGCUUGUAGUUUACACCCAUCCCAUUUACCAAAUCAGCUGUAUCCCUGCAAAUUAUAAACAUAUAACUGUUGUUGUUGUUGUUGUCUUAAAUUAAAACAUUUAAUC